Molecule: long non-coding RNA, 2900 nt
Organism: Oncorhynchus tshawytscha (Chinook salmon)
Lineage: Eukaryota; Metazoa; Chordata; Actinopteri; Salmoniformes; Salmonidae
Source: Ensembl
GGGGGGGCCUCAGUAGUAGUUUUUACAUGAACACAAGAUGAAAGGAUUUCUGUGUCGGUUACUUGGUGUGGUUGGUUGAAUAUGUAUACAUCUGUGUGCUUGAAUAUAGCUACACUUACUGUAUGUGCAUAUUAACGAUGAAGAUAGGCAAUAUUAUCCGCUUCAAGUAUUUGACUAUCAAGUAGUGUCCUUAAUAAUUAGUGCCCUUCAAUACCGUUGUACAGAAUGACCCUUUUUAAGAUGAACUCCUAAAAUACACAUUUGUACUCCUAAGUGUGACUUAGCAGAUAUGAGCAGACCACGCGGAAGUGAGAGAGUGAGUAUUUGUGCGUGCAUAUGUAAGUGUGUCUGUCUGUAUUUUAAUCUUACCAAACCCGUUACAGCGUUAGAUACCAAAUGGCAUUUCCGGUGCUCUUAGACUAGGUUACUGCUUUAACACGUUUAACUGUCUUCAUUUCAUUCAGUCUUUGACUGGUUAAGGUGGUCCAGUUCAAUGUCACCUCUGGUUUUUAAUGAUUAUUAUUCUAUUAUUAUAGAUAUAAAUGAUUUCAUUUCAUUUGCUAUGUGUUUUUUUUUGUUUGUUUUUUUGUAUUACACUGCUUAGUUCAGUUUUCUAAUGGAAAAUGAUAGGCGCAGAAAUAUGUUUCAUAAAGAGUGUGUUUUUAGUCUCUCUCUCUCUCUUUGCUUAAAAAAAAGAGGACUUGUUCAGUAGAUUAUCCAAGGGUGCCCUCCCAAAGAACUUGGAAGUCGUUAUUUCUAUUUCGUUGGGGUUUUAACAAAUCCUCCAAGUCAUGUGUGUCUGUUGGCUUUUUAUUUGUAAUUAACAACAUUGUCAUUUUCCCGUAGAUGACACUGUUUGAAAUGUAUCUGGUUGACAACUGUAUUUAUUAGUUACAAGGAUCAGAGCAGAAGCAGACAGGAGUUGAUUCAUUUGAUUCUUUUCUGAUUAGUUUUUAUACUUUGUUUUCACUGUCUCCGAUGUGAAAGCUCUACCUCGUCUGAGGCCUUCUCAGUUCUGUUAAAGUUUUGUACAUCGUUGCAGAAAAUGUCAUGUCACCAUGUCCACAUUAAAUACACAAAACAUGGCACCAUUCAACCGGUUUCAUCAGUCUCCCUUCCUCGCAUGUGACAGAAUGAGCAGCAUCCUGUAGGGGAAAGAAGUGUAAAUUGUGCCAUUUGUUGUUGUUUUUUUACAUUAAGGAUCACUCCGUCAAGGGAAAUAUAGUUUUCUUUCUAACAAAGGUAUCGACAUAUAUUUCAGGAUGUUGUGUAUCCCUGGAAAUAAUCGGAAUUCAUGUAAACAUUACAGUUUUGUAAAUAUAGCUUGUCCAAUAAAGUGGUCUCUUGGCACAACUUACCCUGGGUAUGGGUUAAGAUGCCUACAAAUUCUUAGACUGAAUGAAAUAUUCCCACUACCUUUUUAAAACCAUGUCUAUGUUAUUUCCCAAAUUCAAUUCGACAUCACUUUUUUUUUGUCUUGUAAUCAUUUUAAGCAUAAUUUAACACAGGGUUAACACCUAACAGGCACUAUUUAAAUCCACUUUGAACAUCAUUCCAGUGAUAACGCCUUGCAUUACACCUGGGGAGAAAAAAAAAACACUUCAAUUUGCUCAACUUGCCAUUGGCUCAACCGUUGGUUAAAUUUAGCCCAUGGCCACUUACCACAAGGCAAACAUUUUGACUAUAUUAGCCCACACAGCUACAAGGAUGGACAAGUAACCGGAAGGUUUGCGAGAUCAAAUCCCCGAGCUGACAAGGUAAACAUCUGUCGUUCUGCCCCCUGAACAAGGCAGUCAACCCACUGUUCCUAGGCCGUCGUUGUAAAUAAGAAUUUGUUCUUAACUGACUUGCCUAGUUAAACAAAGUUGUUGUUUUUUUAAACAGAAUAAAUUAGUUUUUGAACCUGACUUGCUUACCACUUUCUCCAUGUGGUUGCUUCCUUCACCAAUUCCAUGACAUGAUUACCUGUUCCUAACGUUUUUGUCAAGUCAUUCAUUAUGUGUGUGGUUCCUUAGAAACAAGGGUUGUUCAACUUACCCCUUUAUCUCAACUUAUCCCACUCUCCCCUACAGGUCCAGAGAGGUACUGGGUCAUGUUCAUUAGGCACCAAAUGGAAGAAAAUGGGGAAGAACUACCUGAACUUGUCCAAAAACAAACACUCAUUUGCAUAAGGUUCUAAAACGUUUUUGUUUUGUUUCGUGCCUUAAUGAACACGACUAUUCAACUAUUCUUAUAAUACAGAGAACUGACUUUCGACUUAGUAACAUUAGGCAGAAACCAUUUUCAGAUGCAAGUAUGGUAGUAGACUAAGAAGAAACAAAAAUACCUUUUCAGGGGUGGACCAUAUUUUUUUAUGAACCACAUGUGACACUUGAAAUUAGAUGUUUUCUGACAUGUGUGAUGAAAGGCCCAGUUCAGUCAAAAUUCAUUUCCCCUGUGUUUGAUCAGUGUUAUUUCCUGAUAGUUGCUGUUUGAAAAUACAAUCUACACAGGGCCUUCUAUAAUCAGAAGGUUUGCUUGGGCGGACGUUUCGGCUUGGCUGGUGGCAUCACCAGGUGGUAAAUUGGUGUUCCAAACCUCUCUGCCAGUCACAACUAGUUUUCCCCUCCCCACUUAGACCACUCCCAGACACACCUAGCAAAAUUCUUGCUUGAGCAUUUCUUGUUGUUGCUAAAAAGCUAUUUCUGCCAAUUUUAAUUAAAAACGAAUACAGUAGAGAAUGAUUUGAUGAUCAGAAUGAUUUGAUUAAAAAAAUGGCUGCAUUUGGCCUUUAAUGUGGAAAAAUAGCUUGAGCUUGUUUCUAUUUCUGAUGUUUUGCCUAGUUACGGCCAAAGUCCAUUUGAGGCGAUGUUCAAAAAUGGCCUCCCAGUCUCCCACCCACCUAUUGCAGAGACACACUG